UCGACCCGAGUUCCCGGGUCAGGCAAGACUACCCGCUGAACUUAA
Molecule: ribosomal RNA, 45 nt
Filed under: Parachlorella hussii
Lineage: Eukaryota; Viridiplantae; Chlorophyta; Trebouxiophyceae; Chlorellales; Chlorellaceae
Description: partial 28S ribosomal RNA
Source: RNAcentral